GAGCUGCAGAUCCUCUUACAGUGACUCACUGCAAUCUCAAUUGUCUCAGGCUAAAGUUCUGUAGAACAUUAGAGUUAGACAUACCAUUGUAUGACUGAACACUGAUUCAGAGUUUGUCUGACCUUGUUGUCAGAACUUGGAAAGCAAGUGGUUUAGGGAAAAGGGAGAACUGGAUUGAAGUCAAAGUCAUUAAUAUCCUUCUACUUGAAGAAAGAGUCCAGAGAGCAGGAGAGCAACUCUUUGAAAGCUGCUCUGUGAAGCAGGAAACCUCACCAGUAUUUGAGGCAACAUUACAACCAUAAGUCCCUCACUGUAGUAACAAUUUGCAAGAUAUCUGUUCUAAUGAUGGAAAGAAAAGGAGCCACACUGUCAGUACUCUGCUGAAGGCCUGCCUUGCUUCUCUUCUUUGCUGUGUGAUCAUGGAGACCACAUACAUGAAGAGAACCAGCCCUAUUGCAGGAGGCCACAGGAUCCGAGCCAUGGAGACCAAGAACACUCUACACUGGGUAGAACUCACCAGGGCAAUCUGUGGUUGGGCUGGCAGGUCAAGUAGCUACAAUCCUACCCUCAGGAAAGAGUAGGUGGCAGAAAAUAAAACACCACCGUAAAAGAGAUUGUCUCACACCCUUGCUUUUACACAGCUGCAAUCAAGGUAGGGUUGUGUAGGUUCCUCAGCUUGACUGUGUAUACUAUCAUGUGAAGUCCUGUCAAAACUGAGCUUUAUAGAAAGAAGGACGUGCCCCACAGCCAGCUUUCAGUGAUAGAAGCUUUUGCACCCUUUUGAAUAUUGUAUGAGAAAGAAAUAUGCCAGAGAAAAAUAAAACUGCCUUCAUUUUAGUGAAGCUUUUUUUCUUACGGCUACCACCCACUCAGCUUCAAAGAAAUAAACAUUGCGAAGUGGACACACAGCCUCCAGUGCCCAGACACUGAUGGGGUGCUCUGGGAUGCAUAAAACUUCCUGACAAAGAACAGCAGCACCAGCAAACGUGCAAGGUAAUAGCAAAAAUACACAGAGCUAAGCACUUGU
This 1027-nucleotide long non-coding RNA is filed under the name Meleagris gallopavo (turkey). Its description in RNAcentral is "lncRNA (ENSMGAG00000021493.1)". The record is from RNAcentral. Lineage: Eukaryota; Metazoa; Chordata; Aves; Galliformes; Phasianidae.